This 492-nucleotide ribosomal RNA is filed under the name uncultured Actinomycetes bacterium. RNAcentral's name for it is "bacterial SSU rRNA". It matches the Rfam family "Bacterial small subunit ribosomal RNA", at positions 355 to 857 of the family's 1533-position model. Lineage: Bacteria; Bacillati; Actinomycetota; Actinomycetes. The record is from RNAcentral.
UGGGGAAUAUUGCACAAUGGGCGAAAGCCUGAUGCAGCGACGCCGCGUGAGGGAUGAAGGCCUUCGGGUUGUAAACCUCUUUCAGUAGGGAAGAAGCGGAAGUGACGGUACCUACAGAAGAAGCACCGGCUAACUACGUGCCAGCAGCCGCGGUAAUACGUAGGGUGCGAGCGUUGUCCGGAAUUAUUGGGCGUAAAGAGCUUGUAGGCGGUUUGUCGCGUCUGCUGUGAAAAUCCGGGGCUCAACUCCGGACUUGCAGUGGGUACGGGCAGACUAGAGUGUGGUAGGGGAGACUGGAAUUCCUGGUGUAGCGGUGAAAUGCGCAGAUAUCAGGAGGAACACCGAUGGCGAAGGCAGGUCUCUGGGCCACUACUGACGCUGAGAAGCGAAAGCGUGGGGAGCGAACAGGAUUAGAUACCCUGGUAGUCCACGCCGUAAACGUUGGGAACUAGGUGUGGGUCUCAUUCCACGAGAUCCGUGCCGCAGCUAACG